RNAcentral lists this long non-coding RNA (1196 nucleotides) under Malus domestica (apple). RNAcentral describes it as "long non-coding RNA (MDOM_LNC000354)". Lineage: Eukaryota; Viridiplantae; Streptophyta; Magnoliopsida; Rosales; Rosaceae. The record is from RNAcentral.
GGCAGCAGCUCUAUUUGUUUCAUUCUCAAAUAUGCCAAUAUGUGUCAACAAGGUGAAGGAAAAUAUUUAUGAAAACUAGUUGAUUUGAGCAACAUCUAUGCAUGCUAUUCACAAUUAAAAGGUAGAAUCAUGCUUGUAUGCACUCAAAAACAAAACUUAACCCAUUAAAUUCAAAACCUAGUAGUUAUGGUGAACCAAGACUCAACUCAAAACAAAAUGAGUUGAGAAACUUUAUACCUUUGAAGCACCUCUUUGCUUAGCAAAGGUUAAUCACCCAUGUGAGGGCCUUCUUUCCUUUGUGACCUUGCUCCUUGUCUCCAUGGAAUUGGAUGGAGGAACUUUGCUUCUUGGCUCCAUGUCUUCUUGGAUAUGGAUGGAAGAAUUGGGUUCUCCAAAAGUCCCCAAAGUUGGAGACUUCUAAGUUUCGACACCAAGGAUGGUUAAGGAAGAAGAUGAGUGACCAUGGAAGAAUUAGAUGCUAGUAAAUUCCCACAUGGUGGCUAGCCUCCUAGAGGGAAAAAGGAGAGCUUUUGUUCUCUCCAAUUUUCUUAAGAAAACCCUAAUAAAGAAAAGGCUAUAAAGUCACAUUUAUACCUACCUUCAAUGGAGUGGUAACUUGUAAUAAGUCCAAAACCCACUCCCUCUCUAAGAAUGGCCGGCCUCCCUAUUUUUAGUGGGUUAAUUGCCCAUUUUGUUUUAGUUGUCACACAACUUAAAACUUAUGUGCCUUGUGGACCAAAACCCUUUUGUGUCCUGAAGCCCAAAACUAACUUAAGGCCUAAAACGAACCUUUCGUUCUAGAUUAAUUAACUUUUAAUUAAUCCUUGCCAUAUACAAUUAAACUAUUUAAUUGUCCUUACUCAUCUUCAUUAUAUCCUUCAAUCAUUACCUUACACGGUGUUCUAUCCAUUAGGUUCCUUUUAGCGAGGUAGUGGGCGAUUAGAACUCUUCAAAUCGAUUGUGAAUUAAAACUUACUUUCAAUUCUCCCUUUAGUGAUUAUACACCUUUAGGGCUUCCACAAACCAUGAGUGACACCUAGCAGUAUGUCAUGGCUACCCAAGCUAAUCAGAAGAGGUGGAUAACCUAUUCAGUUUAGGAUUCCAAUGCAAUACGGUAUUUCUCUAAUACAAUACUCUUGACCACAUUGUUUGGUUUGAUAGUUUAUUCAUGUUUACUAUCCAAUGUGAUUCAUUUA